AAGAUACUAGUAAUAAGAAUUACACUACCUUGUCAAGGUAUAGUUGUAGGUUAGAGCCCUGCGUAUCUUA
This 70-nucleotide transfer RNA is filed under the name Xenoconger fryeri (Fryer's false moray). Its description in RNAcentral is "tRNA-Asp". It matches the Rfam family "tRNA". Rfam says of the family: Transfer RNA (tRNA) molecules are approximately 80 nucleotides in length. Their secondary structure includes four short double-helical elements and three loops (D, anti-codon, and T loops). The record is from RNAcentral. Lineage: Eukaryota; Metazoa; Chordata; Actinopteri; Anguilliformes; Chlopsidae.